ACUCAAAUGAAUAGACGGGGGCCCGCACAAGCAGCGGAGCGUGUGGUUUAAUUCGAGGCUACACGAAGAACCUUACCUGGGCUUGACAUGCCGUUUGUAGGGAAGCGAAAGCGGACCGACCCUUCGGGGAGGCGGCACAGGUGCUGCAUGGCUGUCGUCAGCUCGUGCCGUGAGGUGUUCGGUUAAGUCCGGUAACGAGCGCAACCCCUGGUGCCAGUUACAUGAUGUCUGGCGCGACUGCCCGUGACAAGCGGGAGGAAGGUGGGGACGACGUCAAGUCAGCAUGGCCUUUAUGUCCAGGGCUACACACACGCUACAAUGGCCGGUACAAUGGGCAGCCAAGCGGCAACGCGGAGCCAAUCCCAGCAAAGCCGGUCUCAGUUCGGAUUGAGGGCUGCAACCCGCCCUCAUGAAGGUGGAGUUGCUAGUAACCGCGCGUCAGCCAUAGUGCGGUGAAUACGUUCCCGGGCCUUGUACACACCGCCCGU
Molecule: ribosomal RNA, 488 nt
Filed under: uncultured bacterium
Lineage: Bacteria
Description: partial 16S ribosomal RNA
Rfam family: Bacterial small subunit ribosomal RNA
Source: RNAcentral